RNAcentral lists this ribosomal RNA (253 nucleotides) under uncultured bacterium. RNAcentral's name for it is "partial 16S ribosomal RNA". It matches the Rfam family "Bacterial small subunit ribosomal RNA", at positions 524 to 776 of the family's 1533-position model. The record is from RNAcentral.
UACGGGGGGGGCAAGCGUUGUUCGGAAUUACUGGGCGUAAAGGGCUCGUAGGUGGCCAACUAAGUCGGACGUGAAAUCCCUCGGCUUAACCGGGGAACUGCGUCCGAUACUGGUUGGCUUGAGUUUGGGAGAGGGAUGCGGAAUUCCAGGUGUAGCGGUGAAAUGCGUAGAUAUCUGGAGGAACACCGGUGGCGAAGGCGGCUCUCUGGUCCACAACUGACGCUGAGGUGCGAAAGCUAGGGGAGCAAACGGG